This 493-nucleotide ribosomal RNA is filed under the name uncultured bacterium. Its description in RNAcentral is "partial 16S ribosomal RNA". It matches the Rfam family "Bacterial small subunit ribosomal RNA", at positions 28 to 507 of the family's 1533-position model. The record is from RNAcentral.
GACGAACGCUGGCGGCGUGCUUAACACAUGCAAGUCGAACGGUGAAGGGACCGGUUUUUGCUGGUUCUGGAUGAGUGGCGCACGGGUGAGUAACACGUGAGUAACCUGCCCCCUUCUUCUGGAUAACCGCAUGAAAGUGUGGCUAAUACGGGAUAUUCUGCGCCUGCUGCAUGGUGGGUGUGGGAAGGAUAUUGUUUCGGUGGGGGAUGGGCUCGCGGCCUAUCAGCUUGUUGGUGGGGUGAUGGCCUACCAAGGCGGUGACGGGUAGCCGGCCUGAGAGGGUGGACGGUCACACUGGGACUGAGACACGGCCCAGACUCCUACGGGAGGCAGCAGUGGGGAAUAUUGCACAAUGGGCGCAAGCCUGAUGCAGCGACGCCGCGUGAGGGAUGGAGGCCUUCGGGUUGUAAACCUCUUUCGCCAGUGAAGCAGGCCUGUCCCUUUUGUGGGUGGGUUGACGGUAGCUGGAGAAGAAGCGCCGGCUAACUACGUG